RNAcentral lists this ribosomal RNA (440 nucleotides) under uncultured bacterium. RNAcentral's name for it is "partial 16S ribosomal RNA". It matches the Rfam family "Bacterial small subunit ribosomal RNA", at positions 338 to 795 of the family's 1533-position model. The record is from RNAcentral.
CCUACGGGUGGCAGCAGUGGAGAAUAUUGCACAAUGGGGGAAACCCUGAUGCAGCGACGCCGCGUGAGUGAAGAAGUAAUUCGUUAUGUAAAGCUCUAUCAGCAGGGAAGAAAAUGACGGUACCUGAGUAAGAAGCCCCGGCUAACUACGUGCCAGCAGCCGCGGUAAUACGUAUGGGGCAAGCGUUAUCCGGAUUUACUGGGUGGAAAGGGAGCGUAGACGGCAGUGCAAGUCUGGAGUGAAAGGCGGGGGCUCAACCCCCGGACUGCUCUGGAAACUGUACGGCUGGAGUGCAGGAGAGGUAAGUGGAAUUCCUAGUGUAGCGGUGAAAUGCGUAGAUAUUAGGAGGAACACCAGUGGCGAAGGCGGCUUACUGGACUGUAACUGACGUUGAGGCUCGAAAGCGUGGGGAGCAAACAGGAUUAGAUACCCCUGUAGUC